UACGUAGGGAGCAAGCGUUGUCCGGAAUCAUUGGGCGUAAAGCGUGCGCAGGCGGUGAUGUAAGACAGAUGUGAAAUCCCCGGGCUCAACCUGGGACCUGCAUUUGUGACUGCAUCGCUAGAGUACGGCAGAGGGGGGAUGGAAUUCCGCGUGUAGCAGUGAAAUGCGUAGAUAUGCGGAGGAACACCGAUGGCGAAGGCAAUCCCCUGGGCCUGCACUGACGCUCAUGCACGAAAGCGUGGGGAGCAAACAGG
RNAcentral lists this ribosomal RNA (254 nucleotides) under uncultured bacterium. Its description in RNAcentral is "partial 16S ribosomal RNA". It matches the Rfam family "Bacterial small subunit ribosomal RNA", at positions 524 to 776 of the family's 1533-position model. The record is from RNAcentral.